Molecule: transfer RNA, 83 nt
Filed under: Alphaproteobacteria bacterium
Lineage: Bacteria; Pseudomonadati; Pseudomonadota; Alphaproteobacteria
Description: tRNA-Glu
Source: RNAcentral
GGUGGCGAAGGCCUAUUUCCGCGGCGAGGGCGCGAGCGCCUUCGACGCCGAGGGCUGGUUCGACACCGGCGACGUCGCCACCA